Molecule: ribosomal RNA, 381 nt
Filed under: bacterium VCD2004
Lineage: Bacteria
Description: bacterial SSU rRNA
Rfam family: Bacterial small subunit ribosomal RNA
Source: RNAcentral
GAUGGCGACCGGCGCACGGGUGAGUAACGCGUAUCCAACCUUCCCUAUAGUAGAGAAUAGCCCGGCGAAAGUCGGAUUAAUGCUCUAUAUGUUCUAUUGAUGGCAUCAGAGAUUGAACAAAGAAUUUCGCUAUAGGAUGGGGAUGCGUCUGAUUAGCUUGUUGGCGGGGUAACGGCCCACCAAGGCAACGAUCAGUAGGGGUUCUGAGAGGAAGGUCCCCCACAUUGGUACUGAGACACGGACCAAACUCCUACGGGAGGCAGCAGUGAGGAAUAUUGGUCAAUGGGCGCAAGCCUGAACCAGCCAAGUAGCGUGCAGGACGACUGCCCUAUGGGUUGUAAACUGCUUUUAUAGGGGAAUAAAGUGAGGUAUGUAUACCUU